AUUGAACGCUGGCGGCAUGCUUUACACAUGCAAGUCGAACGGUAACAGGCCUUCGGGUGCUGACGAGUGGCGAACGGGUGAGUAAUGCAUCGGAACGUGCCCAAUCGUGGGGGAUAACGUAGCGAAAGUUACGCUAAUACCGCAUAAGCCCUGAGGGGGAAAGCAGGGGAUCGCAAGACCUUGCGCGAAUGGAGCGGCCGAUGUCAGAUUAGCUAGUUGGUGGGGUAAAGGCCUACCAAGGCGACGAUCUGUAGCGGGUCUGAGAGGAUGAUCCGCCACACUGGGACUGAGACACGGCCCAGACUCCUACGGGAGGCAGCAGUGGGGAAUUUUGGACAAUGGGCGCAAGCCUGAUCCAGCCAUGCCGCGUGCGGGACGAAGGCCUCGGUUGUAACCGCUUUCAGCCGGAAGAAUACGCCAAGGCUAAUAUCCUUGUGGAUGACGGUACCGGAAGAAGAAGC
Molecule: ribosomal RNA, 461 nt
Filed under: uncultured bacterium
Lineage: Bacteria
Description: bacterial SSU rRNA
Rfam family: Bacterial small subunit ribosomal RNA
Source: RNAcentral